GUUUAUCCAUCCUCCUAAGCGUGCUUAGGGUUUCUCAUUUCUUCCGCUCUAUUCUACAUCACAGCCGCCCUGUUCUUCUCCGUAUUCUUUGAUCUUCAUCUCGACGGUACAAUCUUCUCUCCUUAUUUGUUUUUAUGUUUUUGUUUUUAUGUUUUUGUUUUCAGUAUUGUGGAUUAGGUUCAUCGUUAUUUGAAGUUCAAUCGAUUGAAUGUUUUUCUUCUCAGUCAUCUUCGAUCUUCAUCUCGCAGAUAUGAUGCAAAUACCAAGUUUAUAAGAUUAUAAGAAACCUUAGGCUAGCAUUCAUUGACGAUUCUAUUGGAAGAAAUCGGUUGGAAUCCCUUUUGUGUUUAUUAUCAACUGCGGCCACCUACAAAUCUUCAAUAUAUGAAGUUAAUGGGAGACAAAUCACCAAACAUUCCGGUUUCUUGGUGUUCAAGUUUACUGAUUUUACGGCUUUGUACGAUUUCUAUAAAGGGGACUUCGAUAUAUGUUUUUUAUUCUGGAAUGAGUGAUUUUUGGUGAUUUUUUGGAUUGGUUCUGUUCGUGUUUCUACGUUUUGCAGUCUUAAAUCAGGUUCGUUUUUUGUUAUGUUUUUCUUACAACCAGCUCCUUUUGCAUACAGUCCUUUUUGUUCAUUUUAAUCAACCAGGUUCGUUUGUGUGCUUCUUUCCCCUUCAAUUUGUAUUCCAUGUCAAUUUUAAGAAUAAAUUUUGAGACAAUCAUUGCUUCAUUGUAAAUCAAUCAUGAGAAAAGUUUAUGCAAUGUAUUGCGGGCACUAAGCAAGACCGCAACAAACCAUCUUCAGAAAGAGCUAAUGGAAUGGCAAGUUAAUUUGUGUGUUGGAUUCAAACACAAAGUCGCCAAUAAUCUCUAUAGCUAUGUUUUAUUUUAUUUUAAGUCACGGUUCUUUUGUGUGGUACACUAUAUAUAUUGGGGACAUAUGAAUCCAAUAGGUGUUAGUAGCUGCUAUGAUGAAGGAAAAAGAACUGUUGAAGCUUUAACAAUGAAUUAUCAUCAAGGAGCUGGUGUGGAGGUCAGAAUUGCGCAUAUGUUCAACACAUAUGGACCUUGGAUGUGUCUAGAUGAUGGACGUGUAGGUGGCAACUUUGUUUCACUGUGUGUCAUCAAGCUCACCCACAAACAACCAAUGACAAUUUAUGGUGAUGUAUAAAGAAAUUGAAGCUUUCAAUACGUCUCCAACUUGGUUGAUGGAUUGAUGGCAUUGAUGGAAGGUGAUCAUCUCAGACCUUUCAAUUUAGGCAAUUUUGGAUAGUUUACUAUGUUAGACCUGGCUUAGAUGCCAAACCUCUUGAAAUUCUUCUUCAUCUUCUCCUACUUGCCGCAGAUAAGCUAUGCUUUUACCUGGGUGGGUCGGGCACUCGGGCUGGUAGGGUAACGGGUUAAAUUGGGUUCAAUCCAAAAUGGGUUGGGAGUUUUUAAGCCAUCUAAGUAAUAGAUGAUUGCUACACAUGGAGAAGAAGGCAUUCACUAAACUUUUAGCAAAUUUACACAGGCUAGGUUGACGUCUGCAACUCUUCCAACUCCAAGUAACGUCAAGGAUUCGGAGAAAAUUAGCAAGAAAGAGACUUAGCUCCUAUCUCUAUGAAUUCAAAGCAGUUUUUAUGAUUUUUACGUUUUAAACAUUGGUUUUUUUGAAUAUUUCAGUUUGUUUGACGUGGUGGUUUGAUCUUUA
RNA transcript from Helianthus annuus (common sunflower), 1693 nucleotides. It is a transcript of the gene named UDP-glucuronic acid decarboxylase 1-like, with no coding region annotated. The transcript is spliced from 7 exons. The record is from RefSeq and is a predicted model, not a curated record. NCBI's taxonomy places the organism in Eukaryota, Viridiplantae, Streptophyta, Magnoliopsida, Asterales, Asteraceae.